RNAcentral lists this ribosomal RNA (332 nucleotides) under uncultured eukaryote. RNAcentral describes it as "partial 18S ribosomal RNA". It matches the Rfam family "Eukaryotic small subunit ribosomal RNA", at positions 1470 to 1796 of the family's 1831-position model. The record is from RNAcentral.
CCCUUAGAUGUCCUGGGCUGCACGCGCGCUACACUGGAAGUUACGGAUUGAGAUACUACCUUGUCCGAAAUGGUCCGGGUAAUCACCUAAAAGCUUGUCAUAAUUGGAAUGGAUUAUUGUAACUAGUAAUCCUGAACGAGGAAUUCCUAGUAAGUCCCAGUCAAAAGCUGGUACUGAUUACGUCCCUGCCCUUUGUACACACCGCCCGUCGCUACUACUGAUUGGACGUUUAAGCAAGAUUUUUAAACACUGACAGUGUGUAGUUCACGCUAUACUACAGUGAGAAGAAGAAGAUCGAGCUUACUUGUCUAGAGGAAGUAAAAGUCGUAACA